Molecule: transfer RNA, 66 nt
Filed under: Rhabdoblatta omei
Lineage: Eukaryota; Metazoa; Arthropoda; Insecta; Blattodea; Blaberidae
Description: tRNA-Pro
Source: RNAcentral
CAGAGGGUAGUUUAAAUAAAAUAUUAACUUUGGGAGUUAAUGAUAAAAAAAUCUUUUUCUCUCUGA